This is a long non-coding RNA of Paramacrobiotus metropolitanus, 1317 nucleotides long. RefSeq lists it as uncharacterized. The record is from RefSeq and is a predicted model, not a curated record. NCBI's taxonomy places the organism in Eukaryota, Metazoa, Tardigrada, Eutardigrada, Parachela, Macrobiotidae. The transcript has 4 exons.
UUUUAGUUUAAUGACAAGAAUCUAUUAUCGGGGAGAAGGUUUUAUACGGUUUGUUCGUUUUUGUAUGCAAAUGAUGAUUACGAUUACUUUACCCAGGAAAGUUUACAGUCCGAGAGUUGCUCCUACGGUAUGAUAGGAUCAUAUGACUUCAGCGAGGAUUCCCUUGCCUGUUGUUGCCUGUUGCCUAUUUGAAAGAGUUUUUUCUAACUGGACUGCAGCGCGCGAAAACCAGGAGGUUUGUCAACAUGCUAAAGCGUUGUGGGAUCUGGCUUACAAGGCUGUUGGGAUACGACUUGAUUCAGUUUUUUCACUAUUCACUAAAGGACCGUCAGUUAGACUGAGCCAAGACGUCGGUAAGGUGACCAUUCCUGGACGGAAGACAUUCUAUCGCCUUGUGGGUGACAGUGGAAAUGAAACUUUGGUGGAUAUUGUCCGAGGCGUAGACGAAGCCCAACCAGAACCGGGAAAAGAAUUACAUGUCGCCUUCCUUUGGAGCAGGAAUUUGUCUGUUUACUACAUUUUAUAUCAGCAUAUAUUGUUUUAUCAGGCUGCAGUAAUUAUUUAAUCAGAGAUUCGUUCGUAGGUGAAAGCUUCACUCAUCAGACCGGUAGCAAUGCCAUGUAGGUAAACUGCAUCCAAAUGAUCGGGAAUUCUCAGAAUUAAUGCUGGAGAUUGGGACCAACCGCCUGGAAGCUAUGUUUUGCAUUCACCGGAUCUCCUUCCUUGUGGUUACCUCAACGUACUUGUAUGCAGCCUGACCUACUGCUGCUACUCGAACGACGACAACAUAACAAUAACGCGUGUACGACUACGAGUAUCGGAUAUGUGCUUGCUCUUCAUACUGAUGUAUUUGUCCUUUUUCCGUGUUCUGAAUCGAGCGGAUGUCAUCGCACCAGCAGGACGAUUUUUCCUUCAAUUCUAGUUUUAAGACAAGCGAUAUUCGUUUCUUCGUGUUUUAGUUACGGUUUAUCAUGUGCACGUGAGUUUGGGUAAUCGUGCUUACAAAUAUUUCUUCCAUGAAAUGUGGAGCCCAAUCUAAUGGUAAGCAAACCGUCCGUUGUGAUUUUGAGUUGCAUUAAUGGUCAUCUAUCCUGUAUUUAACCUGUAAUCAGCUAGGUAUUGUAGCGAUAGUAUUUGUACGAACGAUAAGACCGCCCAGUUAUGAUUCAUUCCAUCGCGUUAUGAAUUAAUGUGUCCACUUUACCGGCUAGUUUCCCUUCUCAUGAAUUUCUAGAAUUCAGUCUUGACACUCGCUUGCUACAGCUUGCAUCUACUUGAUUGUGCCUCUUGCUGAAACCCUUGCUUACAACCUUGCUC